CCCCAGCCGUUCCCCCUCAACUCCGAACGGUUGGAUCUCGCCCUCCGCCCUUGGACGUCCGCAAGACUCCGGCUGCGGUAAACAAGGACUUUUGCUCGUUAACCCACUGGAGCCAAGUCGUAUUCCAAUGAAAUAAAUGUCUCUAUUUGU
Amblyraja radiata (thorny skate) is the source of this 150-nucleotide long non-coding RNA. RefSeq lists it as uncharacterized. The record is from RefSeq and is a predicted model, not a curated record. Lineage: Eukaryota; Metazoa; Chordata; Chondrichthyes; Rajiformes; Rajidae. The transcript is spliced from 2 exons.